RNAcentral lists this ribosomal RNA (405 nucleotides) under uncultured Asticcacaulis sp. RNAcentral's name for it is "bacterial SSU rRNA". It matches the Rfam family "Bacterial small subunit ribosomal RNA", at positions 354 to 776 of the family's 1533-position model. The record is from RNAcentral. Lineage: Bacteria; Pseudomonadati; Pseudomonadota; Alphaproteobacteria; Caulobacterales; Caulobacteraceae.
GUGGGGAAUCUUGCGCAAUGGGCGAAAGCCUGACGCAGCCAUGCCGCGUGAAUGAUGAAGGUCUUAGGAUUGUAAAAUUCUUUUAGCAGGGACGAUAAUGACGGUACCUGCAGAAAAAGCCCCGGCUAACUUCGUGCCAGCAGCCGCGGUAAUACGAAGGGGGCUAGCGUUGCUCGGAAUUACUGGGCGUAAAGGGAGCGUAGGCGGGUUAUCAAGUUGGGGGUGAAAGCCCGGGGCUCAACCUCGGAAUUGCCUUCAAAACUGAUAACCUGGAGUAUGGAAGAGGUAAGUGGAACUCCGAGUGUAGAGGUGAAAUUCGUAGAUAUUCGGAAGAACACCAGUGGCGAAGGCGACUUACUGGUCCAUUACUGACGCUGAGGCUCGAAAGCGUGGGGAGCAAACAGG